GGCGCGAUUUUUGUUUCCGAUUAAUCUGUCAAAUUUUAGCGGAUUCCAACACCGUCGCUAAAAAUGACGAAAUUGCCCACGGCGCGAUUUUUAUUUCCGAUCAAUCAAUCAAAUUUGGGCCCAUUCCGAGACCGUCGCGAAAAAUGACGAAAUUGCCCACGGCGCGAUUUUUGUUUCCGAUAAAUUUGUCAAAUUUUAG
Molecule: long non-coding RNA, 199 nt
Filed under: Olea europaea (common olive)
Lineage: Eukaryota; Viridiplantae; Streptophyta; Magnoliopsida; Lamiales; Oleaceae
Description: long non-coding RNA (OEUR_LNC012934)
Source: RNAcentral